UACGAAGGGACCUAGCGUUGUUCGGAAUGACUGGGCGUAAAGGGCGCGUAGGCGGUUUUUUAAGUCAGGUGUGAAAGCCCUGGGCUCAACCUAGGAAUGGCAUUUGAUACUGGAAGACUUGAGUAUGAGAGGGGAUAGCGGAAUUGCGAGUGUAGAAGUGAAAUUCGUAGAUAUUCGCAGGAACACCGAUGGCGAAGGCAGCUAUCUGGAUCAAUACUGACGCUGAGGCGCGAAAGCGUGGGGAGCAAACAGG
RNAcentral lists this ribosomal RNA (253 nucleotides) under uncultured bacterium. Its description in RNAcentral is "partial 16S ribosomal RNA". It matches the Rfam family "Bacterial small subunit ribosomal RNA", at positions 524 to 776 of the family's 1533-position model. The record is from RNAcentral.